This 483-nucleotide ribosomal RNA is filed under the name uncultured bacterium. RNAcentral describes it as "partial 16S ribosomal RNA". It matches the Rfam family "Bacterial small subunit ribosomal RNA", at positions 28 to 507 of the family's 1533-position model. The record is from RNAcentral.
GACGAACGCUGGCGGCGUGCUUAACACAUGCAAGUCGAACGCUGAAGCUCAGCUUUUGUUGGGUGGAUGAGUGGCGAACGGGUGAGUAACACGUGAGUAACCUGCCUCCUUCUUUGGGAUAACGCCCGGAAACGGGUGCUAAUACUGGAUAUUCACUGGUCUUCGCAUGGGGGUUGGUGGAAAGGGUUUUUCUGGUGGGGGAUGGGCUCGCGGCCUAUCAGCUUGUUGGUGGGGUGAUGGCCUACCAAGGCUUUGACGGGUAGCCGGCCUGAGAGGGUGACCGGUCACAUUGGGACUGAGAUACGGCCCAGACUCCGACGGGAGGCAGCAGUGGGGAAUAUUGCACAAUGGGCGCAAGCCUGAUGCAGCGACGCUGCGGGAGGGAUGGAGGCCUUCGGGUUGUGAACCUCUUUCGCUCAUGGUCAAGCCGAAACAAUGGUUGUGGUGAGGGUAGUGGGUAAAGAAGCGCCGGCUAACUACGUG